GCCGAAGUGGUGAAACUGGUAGACACGCUAUCUUGAGGGGGUAGUGGCGCAAGCUGUGUGGGUUCGAGUCCCACCUUCGGCACCA
This 85-nucleotide transfer RNA is filed under the name Candidatus Muproteobacteria bacterium RBG_16_60_9. RNAcentral's name for it is "tRNA-Leu". It matches the Rfam family "tRNA". Rfam says of the family: Transfer RNA (tRNA) molecules are approximately 80 nucleotides in length. Their secondary structure includes four short double-helical elements and three loops (D, anti-codon, and T loops). The record is from RNAcentral. Lineage: Bacteria; Pseudomonadati; Pseudomonadota; Candidatus Muproteobacteria.